AUGGAUAUGGAGCGCACUGACGUGCUGGUCGACAUCCUCCGCCACCUCCCGCCGCGCAGCCUCGCCGCAUCCCGCUGCGUCUGCACGUCCUGGCGGGCCACCGUCGACCACCACCGUCUGCUGCGCGCGGACCUGCUCCCGCUCUCCGUGGACGCGGUGAUCUGGGACAAUGAUACCAUAGACGCCCCGAUGCUCUUCGCCCGCCGCUCAACGGCGCGCUACAUCACCAGUAGGCUCGAUUACCUCGAAGAGGAUCCCGACUAUGGAAUGUACGCGGGGGAGAUGAGGGAUUACUGCAAUGGCCUCCUCUUGAUUCAGAACGACACGGUGGUCAAUCCCGCCACGCGGCAGUGGGCGCCAUUGCCCUGGCUGCCGUGCGCGUGCUCGCCCGAUGGGGAUUGCGGGCGCUGCCACAACAAUCGCUACCUCGCAUAUGACCCUACCAUCUCGCCACAUUACGAGGUAUUCUUCAUUCCUCGUAUUCCCUGUGAUGUACCCGAUGACAUGGCCUGCACUAUGGAGUGGCCACCUUCGCCGUAUACCAUGUAUGUUUUCUCGUCCAAGACAGAGUGUUGGGAAGAGAGGUCAUUCAUGCGAGAAGGGGAUGCUGCCGGAACAAUUGACGAUGUGAAAUCACAUCGGAAAUCUGAUCAGAAUUUGUACUACGCAGCUUACUGGCAGGGGUCACUUUACGUUCCUUUUAGGCAAAUACACGGUGGUUUUCUUCUGAGAAUAAACUUGUCGAGUGAUAAGUACCAAGUAAUUGAGUUGCCAAAAGGAGGCAUCAGAUCACUAUCUCGUCUAGGAAAAUCGGAAAAAGGGGUCUACUGUGUAUUGAAGAAUGGAAGAUGCACAUUUCAGGUUUGGUUUCUGUAUGAAUCGGGUGGUCUGAUAGACUGGGUUUUGAAGAAUGAAAUAAACCUGGAGCCAGCAUGGAGAGAAUAUUUUGAGAAACAUAUUGACGAAGGUCCAUGGAUCUCACAGUCGGAUGAUCAGAAAGAGUUGUUGUUGAAGAAUGAUGUCAACCUUAAACUUGUAGCUGAAUACAACGAAGCAGUAGAGAAAGAUGAUUUUGAGUGGGACUCUGAUGAUGAAAAUGUUCUCAGCACUGCAGGCUGGCCUAAGAAGUACAACCCUGACAAUGAAGCCUAUGAAACCCCUCUUCAACUUGAAUGUCUUGGAUUUCACCCUUACAAGGAAAUUGUUUUGUUUCAUGACCACAAUAGUGCAACGGUUGCAUAUCAUUUGAAUAGCUCGAAGGUUCGAUACUUGGGUGAGAUGGAGCACUACUAUUCCUUCAUUGAGAUCUCUUUUCCUUACGCCCCAUGCUGGACUAUGGACUUACCUGGAAGUAAGUAA
Molecule: ribosomal RNA, 1359 nt
Filed under: Triticum aestivum (bread wheat)
Lineage: Eukaryota; Viridiplantae; Streptophyta; Magnoliopsida; Poales; Poaceae
Description: partial small subunit ribosomal RNA
Source: RNAcentral